Molecule: unclassified non-coding RNA, 803 nt
Filed under: Pomacea canaliculata
Lineage: Eukaryota; Metazoa; Mollusca; Gastropoda; Architaenioglossa; Ampullariidae
Description: uncharacterized LOC112553531, transcript variant X2
Source: RNAcentral
CGACACCAUGUCAUGUCCGGCGUUUUGAGUAGCAUUAUGGCGUAUUGUUUGCCCUUUGCGGUGUAAGAUCAUCAAAAUGUGUUCGAAGAUUUUCGAGAACCAGCGACGUUUUUGUUGAUGAAGACGAAGCAGUCGAAAAAAACUGCUGUCAACAAGGACGUAGAUUUGAUAAAAAGAUUAUUUUUCAAAAUCCUUUAACCAGGCUGAAUGUAGAUGACCAGAGAACAGAAUCAGGAUGGAUCUGCAGAAAUAAUCGAUGUGAUGAUGUUGAUGGAAAUCAAUGCACUUCUAGGAUUAAUAUUUCAAGAAAUAUGCACCUUGUCGAUGAGCAGCACCCUACACCUAACAACACUGAAGAGAUCAUAACAAAAAGACAUUUUUCUUAUGUGCAAGAACUUCCGCAUCCGUCGAAAUUAAGAAAGGUUAAGGCAACUGCGAAGGUUAGCAAGAAGAGGCAGAGAGAUCUUGCUGUGGAGCAGCAUGUUCAACAGCUGCGACAUAAACAGUUGGUGUUUCCCUCGAGUUCUCCUGUGCACAGCAGCGCCACCGUCGAGAAAGCAGCUGACCUUGAGGUCAGCACGAGUGAUCAGCGACUGGCUGUCAGACUUCCUUCUCAUUUUGAUCUUCCUGCCGCGGAGACAGCUGCUACAUCCCUGGAGAUGACACCCGCGGGAGAUAGCCAGGAGACGCUUCCGGAUGCAGGGGGACGAACAUGUAGCAAGAGCGACGAGGAAGACGAUGAGUGGCUGAAAGAGCGCUGGAAGGCCCUGCCUUACGUAGGCAAACAACACGAGGAAUAGUUU